RNAcentral lists this ribosomal RNA (465 nucleotides) under uncultured bacterium. RNAcentral's name for it is "partial 16S ribosomal RNA". It matches the Rfam family "Bacterial small subunit ribosomal RNA", at positions 28 to 507 of the family's 1533-position model. The record is from RNAcentral.
GACGAACGCUGGCGGCGUGCUUAACACAUGCAAGUCGUACGGUAAGGCCCUUUCGGGGGUACACGAGUGGCGAACGGGUGAGUAACACGUGAGUAACCUGCCCACAACUUUGGGAUAACGCUAGGAAACUGGUGCUAAUACUGGAUAUGUUCUCCUGCUGCAUGGUGGGGGUUGGAAAGCUCCGGCGGUUGUGGAUGGACUCGCGGCCUAUCAGCUUGUUGGUGGGGUAGUGGCCUACCAAGGCGGCGACGGGUAGCCGGCCUGAGAGGGUGACCGGCCACAUUGGGACUGAGAUACGGCCCAGACUCCUACGGAAGGCGGCAGUGGAGAAUAUUGCACAAUGGGCGCAAGCCGGAUGCAGCAACGCCGCGUGCGGGAUGACGGCCUUCGGGUUGUAAACCGCUGUCAGCAGGGACGAAGCUUUUUGUGACGGUACCUGCAGAAGAAGCACCGGCUAACUACGUG